UACGUAGGGGGCGAGCGUUGUCCGGAAUUAUUGGGCGUAAAGAGCGUGUAGGCGGUUCGGUAAGUCUGCUGUGAAAUCCUGAGGCUCAACCUCGGGCGUGCGAUGGAUACUGCCGGGCUAGAGGGUGGUAGAGGCGAGUGGAAUUCCCGGUGUAGCGGUGAAAUGCGCAGAUAUCGGGAGGAACACCAGUAGCGAAGGCGGCUCGCUGGGCCACACCUGACGCUGAGACGCGAAAGCUAGGGGAGCGAACAGG
RNAcentral lists this ribosomal RNA (253 nucleotides) under uncultured bacterium. RNAcentral describes it as "partial 16S ribosomal RNA". It matches the Rfam family "Bacterial small subunit ribosomal RNA", at positions 524 to 776 of the family's 1533-position model. The record is from RNAcentral.